UUUUUUUUAGGGCCACCCCUGUGGCAUAUGACAUUCCCAGGCAAGGGGUUGAAUCAGAGCUACAGCUGAUGGUCCACACCACAACCACAGCUACGCAGGAUCCAAGCCGAGUCUGCGACCUACACCACAGCUCACGGCAACGCCGGAUCCUUAACCCACUGAGCGAGGCCAGGGAUAAAACCCACCACGUCCUCGUGGAUGCUGGUUGGGUUUGUUACUGCUGAGCCAUGACGGGAACUUGGGAAGUGUGAGGCAUCUCAAAACUUUAGGUAGGUAGCAGCAAGGCAAUCAGUGAUUUACAUUCAGUGGUUCUGGAGCCAGACUUCUUGGGACAAAUAAUGCCUUUAGCAUAGUAACUAUGGACCCUUAGAUCUCAAUAUCCUGAUCCUUAAAAUGGGGGUAUGAUUGGCACCUGCCUCUUUGGACUGCUGAGUGUUGAAAAAGGUAAUUAUUUAAAGAUCUCAGCCCAGAGUCUACUGCUUAGCUCGGUAGGCACUUCAUCAACAGUAGGUAAUUCUACUAUAGUGUGAGGCAGAGAGAACCUUUCAGAACAAGAACAAACUAACUCUAGUUCUGUCCCUACUUUGCUGGAAUCCAGGUUUUAGAGACCAACUCAUCCUAAAUCCUGCUUUUCUCUUUGUAGUGUGUGAACUGGUCCAGCUUUUCCUGGAAACCUCCAUCUAGUCACUUUUCUCAGCAAUCUGAGCUCUAUGAGCAAGGCUCAUGACUGCUCCCUGCUCGGGGAGCAAGUCAGUUUUUACUUUGGCCUUUCCAAGGGAGCUGAAGAUAUCAACCUAAUUCUGUCCACCUGAGGACAGCAGACAUUAUCCCUCUUCUGUGCCCUUGAGGACGUCUUGCUGGUUGCUAGGUUACAGGAUGAACAUCAGAGAGACAGAGAGUUGUUUGCUUCCAAAUCUCUAGGUACUUCACAGGCCUGGGAAUGUCUCAAAAUUAACAUCCUCCCAAAACAGAAUUACUCAGGUCCAUCCUCCGCUAAGCCCUUUAAUUAUUAUUAUCUCACCAGCUCACAUAACAUAUGUAUGUGAUGGAUAUAAAAUGCCUUAGCCUCCCUUUUAUAGAUGAGGAAUCGAAGGCCCAGAGAAGUUAAGGGAAUUCUCAAGGUCACCCUGAGAACAGCAGUGUGUGUGUCGGUGGAGGGGCCCCGAAGACUCCAGGACUUUUGACAAAGAAACCAAUACAAUACCCUGUUUUAUAACAUGUUUUGGCACUGUUAGAAAUAUUCCCUUAAAACUUUCAGUACUUUUAACUAGCCAACUAUUCUAAAAAAACCCAAAAACCAAAAACCAAAACGUUCAGUACUUUAGAAGAGACUGCUGUUUAUCCAUUUUCUCUUUCUUCCUUAGUAAUAAAGCAGCUUUUUUUUUUUUUUUUCUUUUUUCACUGCACCCACAGCAUAGAGAAGUUCCCAGGCCAGGUAGUGAAUUGAAGCUACAGCUGCAACUUAUGCCAUAGCUGAAGCAACGCUGAAUCUUUAACCCACUGUGCUGGGCUAGGGAUUGAACCCACCACCACAGAGACAAUACCAGAUCCUUAAUCCACUGUACCAUAGUGGGAACUCCAAAGCAUCCUUUUUUUUUUUUUUUUUUUUUUUUUUUUUGCUUUUUAUGGCCUCACUGGGCACAUGGAAGUUCCCAGGCUAGGGGUCUAAUCAGAACUGUAGCCACCAGCCUACACCACAGCCACAGCAAUACGGGAUCCGAGCCGCGUCUGCGACCUGCACUGUAGCUCACGGCAACGCUGGAUCCUUAACCCACUGAGCGAGGCCAGGGAUUGAACCUGCACCCUCAUGGAUCCUAGUUGGAUUUGUUAACCACUAAGCCAUUAUGGGAACUCUCCAAAGCAUCCAAUUUUUAACUGGGCACAUGGGCAACAGGAGAAACUCCACUCCCCAGCUUCCCUCACAGAUAGAUGUGGCUACACAAUUAAGUUCUGGCAAUAGGAGUAAGUGGAAAUGAUGUGUAUCCCAAAAAGGAAAAAAAAAAAACGUAUCCUCCUUCUUCCUUUCUGCUGUCAUGUGGAUGUGAUAGCUGGCACCAAGCAGCCAUUCUGCAUCAUGAGGUUGGGGUAAAGUAUGUUCUGGAAGAUAGAAGGUGCUAGUCCCUUAUUCUGUGGCUAGGUAUCUUAGCCUCUGAUGGAUUGUGCAACACUUAGUUCAUGUGGGGAAGAGAUAUAUUUCUGCCUUGUUCAAUGAAUUGUCACUUGCAGUUGGACCUAACCUUAACAAUACUAGUGGUUUUCUAUUGCACUGAGAAAAAAAAAAAAUCUUAGAUACUGAGUGAGGGCUGCCAUGCCUUGCAUGACCCAGUCCUGGCUCGCUUACUUUUUCAGUACUGUCUGCAUUAUCCAUCUCUCUCUUGCUCUCAACAUUUUAACUCUACUCUCCUUCUUUCGCAUAUGCUGUUCCUUCUGUGUGGAAUGCUAUUCACCUGGAUAACUCCUGCUGACACACUGGGGUCUCAGUCUAUGUGCCCCAUAUUCAGAGAGGUAUUCCCUGACCAAGGUUUUUUUUUAUGCUUUUCUUUCUAACCCCUAGCUUGUCAAUGUGGAAAUAUAGAUUGUAUUGCAUGGUGAUUUGUUUAAUGUCUAUCCUGACGACUAGACCUUAGCUCUGAGGGGCCCUCUAUGCUGCACACCCUGCUCGUACACAGGGCCCACCUGGGGCAGAUUAUAGUUUUCAAAGAUGUUGGUAACAGUAUUUCCCAUCCUAUAUACAUUUCUACAGUGGAUUUUCCACUUUCCCAUCAGGAAGUAAAAUCUAUUUUUCCACUUCCUUUGAUCUGGGUGGCUCUGGGACAGCUUUCACUCCUAGCAUAUGGCAGAAGUGACACUGUACCUGUUCUGGGUGUGGCCCUUAACUGGGCUGGCGGCUUCUACUUUCCCCCUUUGGAAGCCAGUCACCGUGGAAGAAGUGUAGGUGCCCUUCGGCCACUAUGCUCUGCAAAGCUCAGGCCCAAGGGAGGAGGCCUGGAGGGUGAAACCUACAUGAGGAAAGAGGGUGGGUCCACAGGGUACCAAGGCCCCUGCUAUGGGAGGGAGCCAUCUGGGGUUGUCCAGCCUGGAGGAGCCUUCGGAUAACUCCAGUCGCAGCUGAGAUCUGAUCACAGCCAUAUAAGACCCAAAGCAAGGACCCUCAAGCUGAGCCCAGCCAAAGGAUUCAUUUGUACGAAGCAAUGAUAAAUCGUUGUUUGAAGCCAUUUUGUUUGGGUAGGGGCUUGUUAUGCAGCAACAGAAAACAUGAACAGAGGCCUAGAGUAGGCAGUCAGUACAUAGGGGUCAAGUGGCCAAGAUGGAUAGAUUUUAUUUUUUUUGUUCUUUGAUCGUUAGAAGCUAAAGGUCUAUAGAAAGGCUGAGACAGAUCUAGGCCCAGCCUGUCUUCCAGCAUGGAGCUCUGGCCCCGGGCCUCACCAUCCUUACCGGAGGCCUGUGAUUUAAUCCCUGCAAGAUGAAUGCAAGCAGAUAACGUUCUCCUGCAGGAGUGGGUCCAGGAGUGGAGGACACACUUGGGAGGACAGACUGGGGUGACAGCUGGUUGUCACUGGCCUCCUUGCUUACUGCGGUGGGUGCCAUCUUUCAACCACCGUAAACACAGCUUCCGUGUCUGAACAAAGAGGGAGAUGGGUGAAAAGCAAGGAGGCUCCUGAAAUGCAGAAAGGUGGUGAGACAAUGAAAGCAGCAGCCAGGACAGUCUCUAGGCACUGGGGUUAGAGGCCAUUUCAAUACUUUCUUCCUUCUGCUCAUCUGCAUUUCCUAAAUACCCUUCAGAACACAUCUUAUUGUUUUUCUAAAAAUAUGAAAUACCUUCUUAUUUAAAGACUUGAAUUGUGCUCUGAAUUUCGUGAAAGGUGCAAACAACCAAACUAAACUGAGAUCAAACAAAACACUGAAACAAAUCCCAGGCUCCGGAGUUCCUGUCGUGGCCCAGCAGGAACAAAUCCAACUAGUAUCCAUGAGGAUGCAGGUUCGAUCCCUGGCCUUGCUCAGGUUGGGGAUCCGGUGUUGCUGUGCAUGGGGUGUAGGUCACAGAAACCCCUUGGAUCCACACUGCUGUGUCUGUAGUGUAAGCCAGUAGCUACGGCUCCUAUUUGACCCCUAGCCUGGGAACUUCCACAUGCUGCAGGUGGAUGUGGCCCUAAAAAGCAAAAAACAAAAAAACAAAACAAAACAAAAUGAAAAAACACCCCAGGCUCCAAAGCUGCAUUCUCAGCAGCCAAUCUUUUUCUUUCCUUCUUUUUCUCUUCUUUCUUUUUUUUUUUUUUUUUUUUUAGUCUUAAAGGCCAUUAUUUCAGGAAGUAAAGAAAUAAGCAUUAUCCCAACAUAGCUUAUAAAGGGCAAACAAGAGCAAGCAUUGGGGCGGGGUGCAAAGGGGGAGGCAGAAACCUGGGAACCAGGUGCAGAGCAUGAGCCCCGCUUCAUUUUUCGGUGGAAUAUUUGGUUUGCUCAGCUUGGGCCAUGAGUCCCCCAUCUAGCAGCAUCCUGGACUCUUUGACCCCCCACGCCUCCCCCCCCACCCCCGAUUCAUAAUUAUCCAGCUUUAAGUUACUCUUUGGAAACUAUUUUGGUCAUUAUGCUCUUUGGUGUGAUUAAUUAUACCUUAGUAAGAGACCAAGAUAUAUUCUCCGGAGAUGUAACCUUUUCUAAUUUGGGAGGAGUAAUUUUCAGCUCAGCCAGCUCAGGAGCCAUGUAACACUGAAUCACCGCUCCAAAAGUGGGCAGCUCAGGAUUUGGAAAUCUAGUGAG
RNAcentral lists this long non-coding RNA (4758 nucleotides) under Sus scrofa (pig). RNAcentral describes it as "lncRNA (ENSSSCG00000052945.1)". The record is from RNAcentral. Lineage: Eukaryota; Metazoa; Chordata; Mammalia; Artiodactyla; Suidae.